CCUACGGGUGGCAGCAGUCGAGAAUCAUUCACAAUGGGGGAAACCCUGAUGGUGCGACGCCGCGUGGGGGAAUGAAGGUCUUCGGAUUGUAAACCCCUGUCAUGUGGGAGCAAAUUAAAAAGAUAGUACCACAAGAGGAAGAGCCGGCUAACUCUGUGCCAGCAGCCGCGGUAAUACAGAGGUGUCAAGCGUUGUUCGGAAUCACUGGGCGUAAAGCGUGCGUAGGCUGUUUCGUAAGGCGUGUGUGAAAGGUGCGGGCUCAACCCGCGGACGGCACAUGAUACUGCGAGACUAGAGUAAUGGAGGGGGAACCGGAAUUCGCGGUGUAGCAGUGAAAUGCGUAGAUAUCGAGAGGAACACUCGUGGCGAAGGCGGGUUCCUGGACAUUAACUGACGCUGAGGCACGAAGGCCAGGGGAGCGAAAGGGAUUAGAUACCCCAGUAGUC
This 446-nucleotide ribosomal RNA is filed under the name uncultured bacterium. RNAcentral describes it as "partial 16S ribosomal RNA". It matches the Rfam family "Bacterial small subunit ribosomal RNA", at positions 338 to 795 of the family's 1533-position model. The record is from RNAcentral.